CCUACGGGAGGCAGCAGUAGGGAAUAUUUCACAAUGGGCGAAAGCCUGAUGGAGCAACGCCGCGUGCAGGAUGAAGGCCUUCGGGUUGUAAACUGCUUUUAUAAGCGAGAAAGAUGAUGGUAACUGAUGAAUAAGGAUCGGCUAACUACGUGCCAGCAGCCGCGGUCAAACGUAGGAUCCGAGCAUUAUCCGGAGUGACUGGGUGUAAAGAGUUGCGGAGGUGGCCUAAUAAGUAGCUAGUGAAAUCUGGUGGCUCAACCAUUCAGACUAGUCGCUAAACUGUUAAGCUCGAGACCGUUAGAGGUAACUGGAAUUUCUUGUGUAGGCGUGCAAUCCUUAGAUAUUAG
Molecule: ribosomal RNA, 347 nt
Filed under: uncultured bacterium
Lineage: Bacteria
Description: partial 16S ribosomal RNA
Rfam family: Bacterial small subunit ribosomal RNA
Source: RNAcentral